Molecule: ribosomal RNA, 499 nt
Filed under: uncultured bacterium
Lineage: Bacteria
Description: bacterial SSU rRNA
Rfam family: Bacterial small subunit ribosomal RNA
Source: RNAcentral
GAUGAACGCUAGCGGGAGGCCUAAUACAUGCAAGUCGAACGGUAGUCCCGAUUUAUCGGGAUGAGAGUGGCGCACGGGUGCGUAACGCGUAUGCAACCUACCUACAACAGGGGGAUAGCCCGAAGAAAUUCGGAUUAAUACCCCAUAGCAUUGCACUAUUGCAUGAUAGAGCAAUUAAAGAUUUAUUGGUUGUAGAUGGGCAUGCGUCUGAUUAGCUAGUUGGUAGUGUAAAGGACUACCAAGGCGACGAUCAGUAGCGGGUCUGAGAGGAUGAUCCGCCACACUGGAACUGAGACACGGUCCAGACUCCUACGGGAGGCAGCAGUAGGGAAUAUUGGUCAAUGGACGAGAGUCUGAACCAGCCAUCCCGCGUGCAGGAAGAAUGUCCUAUGGAUUGUAAACUGCUUUUCUACAAGAAGAAAAACUCCAAUGCGUUGGAGGUUGACGGUACUGUAGGAAUAAGCACCGGCUAACUCCGUGCCAGCCGCCGCCGUAACAC